UACGAAGGGUGCAAGCGUUACUCGGAAUUACUGGGCGUAAAGCGUGCGUAGGCGGUUUGUUAAGUCCGCUGUGAAAGCCCUGGGCUCAACCUGGGAAUUGCAGUGGAUACUGGCAAGCUAGAGUGCGGUAGAGGAUGGUGGAAUUGACGGUGUAGCGGUGAAAUGCAUAGAUAUCGUCAAGAACACCGAUAGCGAAGGCAGCUUACUGGGCUGUAACUGACGCUGAUGCACGAAGGUGUGGGGAUCAAACAGG
Molecule: ribosomal RNA, 253 nt
Filed under: uncultured bacterium
Lineage: Bacteria
Description: partial 16S ribosomal RNA
Rfam family: Bacterial small subunit ribosomal RNA
Source: RNAcentral